This 587-nucleotide ribosomal RNA is filed under the name uncultured bacterium. RNAcentral's name for it is "bacterial SSU rRNA". It matches the Rfam family "Bacterial small subunit ribosomal RNA", at positions 338 to 916 of the family's 1533-position model. The record is from RNAcentral.
CCUACGGGAGGCAGCAGUGGGGAAUUUUGGACAUUGGGCGCACGCCUGAUCCAGCCAUGCCGCGUGAGUGAAGAAGGCCUUCGGGUUGUAAAGCUCUUUCGGUGGGGAAGAAAUGGCACGGGUCAAUACCCUGUGUCGAUGACCGUACCCGACUAAGAAGCACCGGCUAACUACGUGCCAGCAGCCGCGGUAAUACGUAGGGUGCGAGCGUUAAUCGGAAUUACUGGGCGUAAAGCGUGCGCAGGCGGUUUGGUAAGUCAGAUGUGAAAUCCCCGGGCUCAACCUGGGAACUGCAUUUGAGACUGCCCAACUGGAGUUUGGCAGAGGGGGGUGGAAUUCCACGUGUAGCAGUGAAAUGCGUAGAGAUGUGGAGGAACACCGAUGGCGAAGGCAGCCCCCUGGGCCAAUACUGACGCUCAUGCACGAAAGCGUGGGGAGCAAACAGGAUUAGAUACCCUGGUAGUCCACGCCCUAAACGAUGUCAACUAGGUGUUGGGAGGGUUAAACCUUUUAGUGCCGUAGCUAACGCGUGAAGUUGACCGCCUGGGGAGUACGGCCGCAAGGCUAAAACUCAAAGGAAUUGACGG